This is a long non-coding RNA of Strongylocentrotus purpuratus (purple sea urchin), 387 nucleotides long. RefSeq lists it as uncharacterized. The record is from RefSeq and is a predicted model, not a curated record. Lineage: Eukaryota; Metazoa; Echinodermata; Echinoidea; Camarodonta; Strongylocentrotidae. The transcript has 3 exons.
AGAGAGAGAGAGAUUUAACAUGUAACUGUGAUCCUCGCUUUUGUAAUAGUGAUCCACCUUCAACACACGCGACAUGCCCCAAUCUCUCUAACAUGUAAUGGUGAUCAGGGAUCCCUAUUACAAUUGUAAUAGUUAUCCAAACACACGCAAUGUGUGCAUUUACACGCAGCAUGCCAUAGGCAUAUCGAUACACACACACAAUAUCGAUAUGUGUGUGAUCUCAUCAAACUUUGUGCCAAUGAGUGCGGUGACUAAAGCUGAAACUUGAAAGGCUAAAAUUGAUUGCUUCAAAUAAUCUACGUUGAUGGAGGGCCAGCAAGUUCUUCAAGAUCUCUCUAAUGAGUCCAUGAGACGUACAUGUAGAAGAUAACAUGAAUAAUGGUGUUA